CGGGAUGUAGCGCAAUUGGUUAGCGUACCUGCUUUGGGAGCAGGGGGUUGUGAGUUCGAGUCUCACCAUCCCGAAUG
This 77-nucleotide transfer RNA is filed under the name Brachyspira pilosicoli B2904. RNAcentral's name for it is "tRNA-Pro". It matches the Rfam family "tRNA". From Rfam's summary of the family: Transfer RNA (tRNA) molecules are approximately 80 nucleotides in length. Lineage: Bacteria; Pseudomonadati; Spirochaetota; Spirochaetia; Brachyspirales; Brachyspiraceae. RNAcentral also lists the same sequence under 1 other name. The record is from RNAcentral.